This 165-nucleotide ribosomal RNA is filed under the name Neyraudia reynaudiana. RNAcentral describes it as "5.8S ribosomal RNA". It matches the Rfam family "5.8S ribosomal RNA". Rfam says of the family: 5.8S ribosomal RNA (5.8S rRNA) is a component of the large subunit of the eukaryotic ribosome. It is transcribed by RNA polymerase I as part of the 45S precursor that also contains 18S and 28S rRNA. Lineage: Eukaryota; Viridiplantae; Streptophyta; Magnoliopsida; Poales; Poaceae. The record is from RNAcentral.
CCACACGACUCUCGGCAACGGAUAUCUCGGCUCUCGCAUCGAUGAAGAACGUAGCAAAAUGCGAUACCUGGUGUGAAUUGCAGAAUCCCGCGAACCAUCGAGUUUUUGAACGCAAGUUGCGCCCGAGGCCUUCUGGCCGAGGGCACGUCUGCCUGGGCGUCAUGC